UACGGGGGGGGUAAGCGUUGUUCGGAAUUACUGGGCGUAAAGGGCGCGUAGGCGGCCACCGCAAGUCGACUGUGAAAUCUCCGGGCUUAACCCGGAAAGGUCAGCCGAUACUGCGGGGCUAGAGUGCAGAAGGGGCAACUGGAAUUCUCGGUGUAGCGGUGAAAUGCGUAGAUAUCGAGAGGAACACCUGCGGCGAAGGCGGGUUGCUGGGCUGACACUGACGCUGAUGCGCGAAAGCUAGGGGAGCGAACGGG
This 254-nucleotide ribosomal RNA is filed under the name uncultured bacterium. RNAcentral's name for it is "partial 16S ribosomal RNA". It matches the Rfam family "Bacterial small subunit ribosomal RNA", at positions 524 to 776 of the family's 1533-position model. The record is from RNAcentral.